This 2049-nucleotide small RNA is filed under the name Pan troglodytes (chimpanzee). RNAcentral's name for it is "retained intron". The record is from RNAcentral. Lineage: Eukaryota; Metazoa; Chordata; Mammalia; Primates; Hominidae.
GAGCCUGAGGGACCCGGCGGCCGGUGAGCGCCCGCUAGAGGCUGGAGCUUCCGGGCCCUGGAAAGGGGUCCCCGCGCGCCCCGGGUCGGAGGCAGACCCCUGGGUUUGGGGGACAUGGGCAUUUGGGGCGCCUGAACCCAAGACCUCUGGAUGGUAGGGAUGCCCGGGCGUCCUGGAUACCCUGCGGGACUCGGGGCUCCUGCGGGGAAGAUGGCACGUUUUACUGCCCAAGGAGUGGUCAGGGGGGUGGAGAAGCGCUGCGGGUACCCUCAGGAGGUCUGCGACAGAGGGGGCUAGCUGCGCAGCCCAGGAGUGGUAGUGGCCCCCCUGGAUGACAGGCCUGGCCGUAUCCUCCCCCAGAGCUGCCCCGUUCAGACCAUGGAUCCUGAGGUGACCUUGCUGCUGCAGUGCCCUGGCGGGGGCCUGCCCCAGGAACAGAUACAGGCCGAGCUGAGCCCCGCCCAUGACCGUCGCCCACUGCCAGGUGGGGACGAGGCCAUCACUGCCAUCUGGGAGACCCGGCUAAAGGCCCAACCCUGGCUCUUCGACGCCCCCAAGUUCCGCCUGCACUCAGCCACCCUGGCGCCUAUUGGCUCUCGGGGGCCACAGCUGCUCCUGCGCCUGGGCCUUACUUCCUACCGAGACUUCCUGGGCACCAACUGGUCCAGCUCAGCUGCCUGGCUGCGACAGCAGGGGGCCACCGACUGGGGUGACACGCAGGCCUAUCUGGCGGACCCACUGGGGGUGGGCGCUGCACUAGCCACGGCCGAUGACUUCCUUGUCUUCCUGCACCGCUCCCGGCAGGUGGCUGAGGCCCCUGGGCUGGUGGACGUACCUGGUGGGCACCCUGAGCCUCAGGUGAGAUUCCAGGCUGGGCACAAAGACCCAGACAGCUCAAGGGAGCUGCAGCUCUCCACCCUCCCAAUCCUCCCAGCUUUGGUUUCCUCAUCCCUUAAAGGGAAAAUUGGCCUGGUAUUUCUCUGAAAGUUUGCUCAGGGCAGUCCACCUGCCUCCCCACUGACCCCUGCCCCAGUCCUGUGAGAAACUAGAAAACACGGGAGGAAAGAUUGGGCACAGGAAGAAGAUGCCCUACUCCACCCCUGCCCCCUGUGUAUCUCCUUUGAAGCUGGACCUCUGGUUGUCUGUCAGGGAAAGGACACCAGACUCAGGAUCACUAACUCUCUUACACUGUGCCACAUCAGACCCUCAAGGCCAGCAGGUAUAGGCUUGCUGGUCCUGAGAUGGGGCAGGGGGAAGAGGUGGGGAGCAGGGGCUGAGCCUGACCUCUCACAGGCCCUGUGCCCUGGUGGCAGCCCCCAGCACCAGGACCUCGCUGGGCAGCUGGUGGUACGUGAACUCUUUUCCAGUGUCCUUCAGGAGAUCUGUGAUGAGGUGAGUGAGGUUGACCUGGACAGGGUGGUAGACAUGAAGGGAGGGGGUAGGACUUGCCAGAAUUCUACAGGUCUGGGCUGGCAGGAGGCCUGCAGGCAUCUGGCCAGCAAUGAGGGAAGAAGUUGGCUUUGCAACUAUACAUACUUGGAGUGGAAUUCUAGCCCUCAGUACUCUCUGCCUUGGAUUCUUCUUCUUUUUUCUUUUUUCUUUUUUUUUAGACAGAGUCUCGCUCUGUUGCCCAGGAGAAUGGCGUGAACCCGGGAGGCGGAGGUUGCAGUGAGCCGAAAUCGCGCCACUGCACUCCAGCCUGGGAGACAAAGCGAGACUCCGUCUCAAAAAAACAGAAAAAGGAGUAAGUGUGGCAGGGUGUGGUGGCUCACACCUGUAAUCCCAGCACUUUGGGAGGCCAAGGCCAGCGGAUCACCUGAGGUCAGGAGUUCGAGACCAGCCUGGCCAACAUGGAGAAACCCCAUCUCUACUAAAAAUACAAAAAUUAGCCAGGCGUUGUGGCGUGCACCUGUAAUCCCAGCUACUCAGGAGGCUGAGGCAGGAGAAUCACUUUAACCUGGGAGGCAGAGGUUGCAGUGAGCUGAGAUCGUGCCACUGUACUCCAGCCUGGGCGACAGAGCGAGACUCCAUCUCAAAAAAAGAAAAAAA